AGGUUGCUUAUUUAAAACUGAUAAAAACACAAUUGCAUUUCAUCAAAACUGUAGAAAUUGCUUCUUCUUUCUAUCUGCAGACAGGCCUGUUGGUUCUCCUGGUCUUUGGGAAGCGGGGGCAGUUCAACCAGUGGUGAGAAGGAGAACGCACCAAUUCCUUAUUGUCUCAAACGAAAUCUUACAUUCACACCCUUUCUCAGGAGCUCAACACCUGGAGGUCUCUAGGUUAGCUACUAAGGGCUCGCCACAUUUAUGUCACCUGACUUUAAUAUUAAAUACUGCAGCAACGGCAGAUUGGAAGUGUGAAUGGCUACGCUGAUCAGAGCUGACCUUCUGCUGAACUAGUCUGACUGGUUCACAAAGGAAGAGUGUGUGAAAAUAAUGUAUGUAUUCCUUUGAGAAAUGUGUGGCAAUGAAGUUGAAGGUCUGAACAUCAAGUAUGUCUUUUCCUGGACUGGAUAAACUACACAGAAAUACAAGGCAGGAUCCAGCCAAAUGAAACCAUUCUAAGUAUCAAGGAAAAUUGAUUUCUUUUACUCUAUGAUGUUAUUGUAGUUUUUGUUUCUGGUCUAUUUGAUUUAUUGUGCUGUUAAAAGCCCAGAACAGUGCUUUGCACUAAUGGGGCAGUAUAAAAAUUGAAUAAAUCAAUAAAUAAUUUUGUUUGAUUCCA
Molecule: long non-coding RNA, 670 nt
Filed under: Pogona vitticeps (central bearded dragon)
Lineage: Eukaryota; Metazoa; Chordata; Lepidosauria; Squamata; Agamidae
Description: lncRNA (ENSPVIG00000009741.1)
Source: RNAcentral